Solanum lycopersicum (tomato) is the source of this 84-nucleotide non-coding RNA. The record is from Rfam. Lineage: Eukaryota; Viridiplantae; Streptophyta; Magnoliopsida; Solanales; Solanaceae.
AUUGCAAGUGAUGAUAAAACAGACAGGGACAUCAGAAUCCAUAGGGUUGUGAUGAUUUGUCGUUGGGAAUCUCUCUGAUGCACA